CACCUUCCUUCGGAAUAGUCAAGGGAAUAAUACUUAAGCCGCAAUUUACGGCUGUUUCAGCGUUUUGUGCCAGGAAUUUGUAUAGUUGUAUUAUGGAUACAGAAAAGGAAGCAUCGCCUAUAGUUUUUGUGGAAGAAAUAUCCAGCCCAGCGCAAGGAAGUCAUCAAUUAAACAGACGGGCUCUGCAUCAUUGUUGUAAUAGUUACCUCUACGCUAGUUUUUUGGCACAGUUUCGUUUUCAAAUUCAAAAGCGCUGCAAACAUAUUUUCAUUAAUAGAAAUUCUCACACAAAUUUUUGUUGUUACAACACGGCGGCAACAGGGCAAUUUACAUAGAUUGGUGUGCACAUGUGUACAUACAUGCGCUUAUGCAUGUGUGUGUAACGGAACAGAAACACACACAAAUUGAGGAAAACGGCAACAUAUGAAUGUAUUGUAUUCAUAUGCACAUGUGUACAUUCAGAACAGAACAAGUGCGAGCGAGCAAGAAUAUCCAUAACUGAAAAACAGCAAAAACAAUGACAACAAUUCUCAUCAAGUGCGCUGCGCAUACAACAUAAAAUCACCCACUCGACGCGCCAACAGUGGAGAACAGAAGAGCGCAAAGAACAGGCCCCAAAAGCUAGCAAAAGCGAAACAAACUGGAGAGCUGAAACGGGGGCGCCAACUGCCAGACUGUCUGACAACUGGUAGCUAUGACACUAUUAAAGCUGACUGCUACGACAUGACACUAUUAGAUAGACUGGCAUCACCUUUUAUUUAUCACCCUGUUUUUAGGGCUCUAAAAUCUCUCAAAUUGAAACGAUGUACAUACAUAUGUAUCAAUGGUUGUGCAGCUCUAAUACAGUAUAUUAAAUUACUUUUCAAAAUGACCGCAAACUUCAUUCGUGCACAAAAAUAGCGAAAUUCUUCGGGAUAUAAAAGUAUAUUUCAUCUAGAGAUGAACAACUCAUACAUAUCAGGAAUCGUUUUUAUCGUUUUCGAUUAUUUUUCCAAAUCCUUCAACUCUUGAGUUGACCAUCUCAAUUAAGACC
Drosophila obscura is the source of this 1033-nucleotide long non-coding RNA. RefSeq lists it as uncharacterized. Lineage: Eukaryota; Metazoa; Arthropoda; Insecta; Diptera; Drosophilidae. The record is from RefSeq and is a predicted model, not a curated record. The transcript has 4 exons.